GAUGAAGAACGUAGCGAAAUGCGAUAAGUAAUGUGAAUUGCAGAAUUCAGUGAAUCAUCGAAUCUUUGAACGCACAUUGCGCUCCCUGGUAUUCCGGGGAGCAUGCCUGUUCGAGCGUCAUUACAACCCUCAAGCUCUGCUUGGUGUUGGGCCCCGCCGCCCCGGCGGGCCCUAAAGUCAGUGGCGGUGCCGUCCGGCUCCGAGCGUAGUAAUUCUUCUCGCUCUGGAGGUCCGGUCGUGUGCUUGCCAGCAACCCCCAAUUUUUUUCAGGUUGACCUCGGAUCAGGUAGGGAUACCCGCUGAACUUAAGCAUAUCAUAAGCGGAGGA
RNAcentral lists this unclassified non-coding RNA (328 nucleotides) under soil metagenome. RNAcentral describes it as "partial contains 5.8S ribosomal RNA, internal transcribed spacer 2, and large subunit ribosomal RNA". The stretch from base 1 to 120 matches the Rfam family "5.8S ribosomal RNA", at positions 35 to 154 of the family's 154-position model. The record is from RNAcentral.